This 87-nucleotide ribosomal RNA is filed under the name Acanthosepion pharaonis. Lineage: Eukaryota; Metazoa; Mollusca; Cephalopoda; Sepiida; Sepiidae. The record is from RNAcentral.
GAAACCGUACGAUCACCGAAGUUAAGCAACGUCGAGGCUAGUCAGUACUUAGAUGGGUGACUGCUUGAAAAUACCAGGUACUGUAAG